GUGGUUUGUCGUGUUGACACCUGCACAUGAAAAACAUCGCGUGUGGGAAUAUUGUACUACCAUAAAUGCAUUUGUCAUUAUAUGACGCCGCCUCUAUUAAGUAAAAUAAGUUUAGAAGACAGAACAUAGCCAAGGUUUUAGACAAUUAAAGAAAAUGUGGUUUGCUCUUCGUAGCUUAGUGAUGUGGGCCUGUUAUGAGUAUGAUUAAAUGAAGCACAUUUUCAUCUUUCUCUUUGCUAAUUCUGAACGCGUUUGAUUAGUCAUUGUAUCAGCACCGACCGCCGCGCCAUGUGAUAUCGUAAGUUAUGUUUACUGUGUCUGAUCUGUUCAUCCGCCUUCUGGUCGCCUGUUUAUGCAUGUCUAAAUGUUUCUAAUGCUUCUGUCUAAAUGCGUUUGUACCGCUCCCUUGCAUUUAAUUGCCUUCCGUAUGUGGUGUGUGUGUGUAUGUAUAUAUCCGUGGAAUCAGGACUAUUCGGUUUGCUGUAUGGAGAAAUGUUGUGUUUAGCUGUUGUCCACUCUGCUGCUUCUAGAAAAUGGCAGAAUGAAAUGGGUAGAGUGUGGUUUGUGUCAUGUGAUUGUGUGCUUUGUGUUGUGGUACGUUGUAGAUUUUAAUAUAGAUAAAGUGUGAGUGUCGUCAAGAAAUUUAACACUAUAAUCCCUGUCAUAACUUAGAAUGAGUAGAUUAAGAGUGUGUUUAGCCUGGACACAGUGUGGAAACAACAUUCAAACAUGGAAAAGACACCUAGCUGCAGUAGUGACUGUCAGUAGUUGAAGAGAAAAAGCUCCAGAUGGCAGACACAAAAGUAAAAGCACCAUUACACUGAGAUAUUUUGGAAUGGUGACAAGACGGACGCAACUGUUUUGCUGUGCGGCUUCUUUUAAAACAUUGAUUUAAGGGAUUUGUUAUAGACAGUCAGUGCCUUGCGGAUAUUAAAGGGUCAGAAUUUCAUUUUCAGAGUUCAGACAUAUUAUUUUAUUAACUCUGAAAGGAAAAUGUGAUAUAUCACACAAGAUGAAUAUAUAAGUUAUAAUGGCCAUUUCGAGGGUUAAUGAUCAGUGUGGAAUUAAAAAUUUGUGGACUUUAUAUUGGUGAUCUGUGUUGCUGCUUAUCGGAUAAAUUUUUGGGAGUGACACUAGGUGUUGAGAGAGAGUGUUGAAGUGAAGCCGAUGAGCUGACGGUCUGAUAAGACUUAGAGGAUGGACAUUUAUCUAGUGGCAUCCGGUUCAACCAGAUACGGUUAUCACAGCGUUGUACGCUGUCACUGUUCCAAUGAAAUUAAUUUGUUACAGGAAAACAAAAGACUUUUACGUGGUUUUAAUUUAAUUCAGUGUUUUUGACGUAAUAUUGUAUUGUCACCAAAGCUGUUUUAUUUCUUAUUUCUUAAAGUUUACUUGCGACCUGACGUAGAUUCGCUUUUGAGAUGAAGGAGGAAAACUGAUUGAUUUGUUGAGUGUCCAACUGCUUUUGAAAGAUUUCAUGCAAUGUUUUUGUAUGGGUGUGAAAUUGGUCUCUCACCCUGGCUGAAGAAUAUAGAUUGAAGAUGUUUGAGAACAGGGUGCUGAUUGUAUUCGGUCCUAAAGAAAAGAAAGUAACACGAGGCUACAUAAUUAGAAUUGUUUUCUUAUUAUCAUCUUAACUUACGGUCAGUCGUCUGGUCUGUUCCAAUACAGAUUUAACUUCUGGAAUUAUAAAUCAUUUUAGACAUAAGACGGAGAAUUUGUCCAUCAUAAAGCUUCUAGUGAGACUGUAACACAAGUUUCCAGUGUUUGAGCUAUCGUAGACACUGCUCAUCGCCCUGAUGAUGGACGCAGAAUGGUCCUCUGAAACACUGGUAAUUUUUUACCAGACUACACGGCGCUACGACUGAGCAAACAACCAUCUUGAUGGGUUUAGAGUCAGUGGGAUAAAGAACGAGUUCCCUGGACUUUAUCACGAACAUUUUCAUGGUCCAUUUCGCUUUGAUUGGCAUCUGCAACAGUGUUAUUAAUUUCGACCUCUAAUGAAGCGUAGAAUUCUCCAUCUAUAUUGAUCGAAUGACGUCAGAAUUGACUAACUCCGGUUCUGUGCAGGGGGUUCGUAACGCGGGGACCGAGUGUGUCCGAAAGCUCUCUUAUAUCAUUCGGAAAUUCCUGGACGGAAUGAUAAAUUGCGUAGAGGGACCUCUACACUAAGAGCUUUUAGUAUAAUCAUGUAAUGUGAAACACUAGUCGGAAUUGAUAAUUAUUUUAAAAUCAAUAAUACUACAAAGGAAAUUAAUUUGGCUGUUUUAGAAGCGUAAGUAGGAUUUAUGGUUCUCAGGGCUGAGAGUACGGAAGAAGAUUCCUCUCUUCUGGGUUGUAGCGCCUUGUAAUCUGGAAGACGUUUACUAACAUUUAGGAGGUUCUUGAUGCCACCAUCAUCAGGGCGACGAAGGCCAUCUUAAUUUUUGAAGAUUGUCUUGUAAUAAAACUAGUUUGUUUAGG
This is a non-coding RNA of Zootermopsis nevadensis, 2463 nucleotides long. Lineage: Eukaryota; Metazoa; Arthropoda; Insecta; Blattodea; Termopsidae. The record is from RefSeq and is a predicted model, not a curated record.